CCUGUAUAUGGAAUAUAUGUAAAUAUAAUUACAAUUGACGUAUUUUCACCAUUACUGUUGUUCUUUCUUUGUUUCUUUUAACUAUUUUUCUAUAACUAGUAAUGAUUAAUAGUUCUACCACAGAGAAGUAUUGUAAAUCUCCAUAUAAUGUGUAUAUAAAGUGACUAAAUUGCAUUUAUAUUCUAAACUAGGAUUACAAAUUUAUUCUACUACAUAUAUAUUUAAUUACAAUUAUAUUCAAAAGCGCUGUUACACUACUUUCAUGAACGCACUUAUUUAUUAGAUAAUUUAGGAUGCCAUCAUGUCGGAUUAUAUAUGUAUAAGUGUGACUCGCCAUUUCACUGUGGAAUAUUUGGUUGCCGUUGAAUAUUAGCAAUCACAAAGUCUGGAUAUAAUUGUUUAUUGUCAGUGUACAGACAUAGCAAACAGAAAAGCCGCUAAGUGGAAUUCUUUCAAAUUUAU
Non-coding RNA from Paramuricea clavata, 462 nucleotides. NCBI's taxonomy places the organism in Eukaryota, Metazoa, Cnidaria, Anthozoa, Malacalcyonacea, Plexauridae. The record is from the annotation of a GenBank genome assembly.